RNAcentral lists this ribosomal RNA (472 nucleotides) under uncultured bacterium. RNAcentral's name for it is "SSU rRNA". It matches the Rfam family "Bacterial small subunit ribosomal RNA", at positions 26 to 521 of the family's 1533-position model. The record is from RNAcentral.
AGGAUGAACGCUGGCGGCGUGCCUAACACAUGCAAGUCGAACGUCCUGUCUCGCAAGAGGCAGGGAGUGGCGGACGGGUGAGUACCACGUGGGUCAUCUACCGUGAGGUGAGGAAUACCGGCGAGAAAUCGCCGACAAGACCGCAUAGGCUCGAUGCAAGUCGAGCAAAGCUCUUUCGAGAGAGGGAGCGCCACACGAGGAGCCUGCGCCCGAUUAGCUAGCUGGUGGAGUAACGGUUCACCAGGGCGACGAUCGGUAGCUGGUCUGAGAGGACGAUCAGCCACACUGGGAUUGAGAACGGCCCAGACUCCUACGGGGGCAGCAGUGAGGAAUUUCGUCAAUGGGGGCAACCCUGAACGAGCAACGCCGCGUGCAGGAAGAAGGUUUCGGAUCGUAAACUGCUUUUCUCGGGGAAGAGAACGGACGGUACCCGAGGAAUCAGCCCGGCUAACUACGUGCCAGCAGCCGCGGU